AGUGAACGCUGGCGGCGUGCCUAAUACAUGCAAGUCGAACGAAGUGGCGCACGGGUGAGUAAUAUAGUUAAUCUGCCCUACACAGAGGAACAACAGUUGGAAACAGACGCCAAUACCUAAUAGUGUAGGAUGUGACUAUAUCGUAUCAGCUAGUUGGUAAGGUAAUGGCUUACCAAGCCUAUGACCCGUAACUGGUCUCAGAGGAUGAUCAGUCACAUUGGAACUGAGGCACCAGCCGAACACCUACAGGAGGCAGCAGUAAGGAAUAGUGCGCAAGGGGCGAAACCCUGACGCAGCAUCGCCGCGUGAAGGAUGGCACUUUUGGGAGCAUAAACUCCUUUUAUCAGGAAAGCGGUACCUGAUGAAUAAGCACCGGCUAACUCCGUGCCAGCAGCCGCGGUAAUAC
Molecule: ribosomal RNA, 406 nt
Filed under: uncultured bacterium
Lineage: Bacteria
Description: partial 16S ribosomal RNA
Rfam family: Bacterial small subunit ribosomal RNA
Source: RNAcentral